Long non-coding RNA from Oxyura jamaicensis (ruddy duck), 455 nucleotides. RefSeq lists it as uncharacterized. The transcript has 4 exons. NCBI's taxonomy places the organism in Eukaryota, Metazoa, Chordata, Aves, Anseriformes, Anatidae. The record is from RefSeq and is a predicted model, not a curated record.
GUGACACGCUUAUCACAUGUGUCAGGAUCUGACACAUCAUGCUACCUGGUGGGUUUGAGAAGUGGUUACAAAUUUGCAUAAAAAGAAAGAUUACAUGAAGUUAGGAUUAAAGAUAUGCCCUAUUCACCACAUUCAAAUUGGUAUCUGAACACCCUCUCAGACAGAUGCAUGGAAGUGGAAGUAGACACGACAACUUGAGCUAAAUGUUGACACUGCAGAAUUUGGGGCUGAUCAGGUAAGGCAUUUAGCUCCGAAUUUGCCUCAUGAGCAGCUAUGAAUCAGUUAAAAUUAUCUACAAGAGUCUCUGAACCCAGUAACAGUAUUCAAUACACAGGCUGAGAUUUUUGAACCUAACCUAUUUAUUCAUUUCUUCACAGAGAAAUGCUCCAGCAUGAUGGCAUGGUUUGCUUCUUAUUACCUCACAGUGUGGUAAGAAAUCUGACUGCCCAUUUCAU